Molecule: ribosomal RNA, 484 nt
Filed under: uncultured bacterium
Lineage: Bacteria
Description: partial 16S ribosomal RNA
Rfam family: Bacterial small subunit ribosomal RNA
Source: RNAcentral
GACGAUCGCUGGCGGCGUGCUUAACACAUGCAAGUCGAACGAUGAAGCCGGAGCUUGCUCUGGUGAAUUAGUGGCGAACGGGUGAGUAACACGUGAGUAACCUGCCCUUGACUCUGGGAUAACUGCUAGAAAUGGUAGCUAAUACCGGAUACGACCCUCGGAGGCAUCUCCAGGGGGUGGAAAGAAUUUCGGUCAAGGAUGGAGUCGCGGCCUAUCAGCUAGUUGGUUAGGUAAUGGCUCACCAAGGCGACGACGGGUAGCCGGCCUGAGAGGGUGACCGGCCACACUGGGACUGAGACACGGCCCAGACUCCUACGGGAGGCAGCAGUGGGGAAUAUUGCACAAUGGGCGCAAGCCUGAUGCAGCAGCGCCGCGUGAGGGAUGACGGCCUUCGGGUUGUAAACCUCUUUUAGUAGGGAAGAAGCGAAAGUGACGGUACCUGCAGAAAAAGCACCGGCUAACUACGUGCCAGCAGCCGCGGUAA